RNAcentral lists this ribosomal RNA (526 nucleotides) under Enterobacter cloacae. RNAcentral's name for it is "bacterial SSU rRNA". It matches the Rfam family "Bacterial small subunit ribosomal RNA", at positions 558 to 1083 of the family's 1533-position model. The record is from RNAcentral. Lineage: Bacteria; Pseudomonadati; Pseudomonadota; Gammaproteobacteria; Enterobacterales; Enterobacteriaceae.
GCGUAAAGCGCACGCAGGCGGUCUGUCAAGUCGGAUGUGAAAUCCCCGGGCUCAACCUGGGAACUGCAUUCGAAACUGGCAGGCUAGAGUCUUGUAGAGGGGGGUAGAAUUCCAGGUGUAGCGGUGAAAUGCGUAGAGAUCUGGAGGAAUACCGGUGGCGAAGGCGGCCCCCUGGACAAAGACUGACGCUCAGGUGCGAAAGCGUGGGGAGCAAACAGGAUUAGAUACCCUGGUAGUCCACGCCGUAAACGAUGUCGAUUUGGAGGUUGUGCCCUUGAGGCGUGGCUUCCGGAGCUAACGCGUUAAAUCGACCGCCUGGGGAGUACGGCCGCAAGGUUAAAACUCAAAUGAAUUGACGGGGGCCCGCACAAGCGGUGGAGCAUGUGGUUUAAUUCGAUGCAACGCGAAGAACCUUACCUGGUCUUGACAUCCACAGAACUUUCCAGAGAUGGAUUGGUGCCUUCGGGAACUGUGAGACAGGUGCUGCAUGGCUGUCGUCAGCUCGUGUUGUGAAAUGUUGGGUUAA